UUUAGAACCUAAAGCACUUUUAAUUCCCUGGCUACCUUAAAGAAUUGCUUUUCAGCAUCAACAAAAGAUUGAUAGUUUUUGCUACUCAGAUUCUCCACAUAUUAUGAAAUCUAAGAAAUGUUUAUGCACCUAGCAAAUGCAGCAUAUUUUAGUUAAAGAACUGAAAAUUAACAAGAAGAUAACAAAUGCUACCGCACAAACAUGCCAAGAGAUCAGGGAUGGAGUAGCAAAGCCUAGAGGCAAGCCACAUCGAAUCAACGAUUUACCAAAUUUUAGAGCAAGGGCAAGUUGGCAGCCAACGCUACUUUAGUUGUGGAGCGAGUUGGAGAAAAAACGUCCAGCUUUAAAAAAUGCCGCUGCUGCAUCUCUUCUCUUCUGAGUCUCUAACUCCUUCCAAGAAACUGAAGUCUUCUCAGUUUUGGUGCCCUGUUCUGACUAUCUUCCUCUGAAACUUCAGUUUCAAGAAAGUAUAUCCAUUAGGGAAGGGAGAUCACCAUCUCUUCCAUACAACGCUAAGAUUUGGGGUUGUAGUUGGAGGUCAUGGGAACUUGCCAAGUUUCGAGAACUUCAUGCUUCUAUUAAUUUUUGGAAAGAAAUUUUAUCAUAAUCAUCUUGGAAAGAGACUAUGGAAGAAGAAGAUGGAACAAAAAGAUAACAAAGUGUUUGGGCCUCCUUCCCUGUUCUAGAUACUGAUAAUUAUGUAGAAAAUUCACUGCAGCAACACUCGCAGAUGAACAUUCAGAAGUUCAAGCUAUGUCUUAAGAGUCUGAGCCUCAGAAUUUCAAAAGGCAAACUUGAAGACCUAGCUCUCAACAUGUAAAGUUUUGUUAUAGUUUUCCAUUGGAAAUUAAGUUUAGUGAAGAAAA
Molecule: long non-coding RNA, 866 nt
Organism: Macadamia integrifolia
Lineage: Eukaryota; Viridiplantae; Streptophyta; Magnoliopsida; Proteales; Proteaceae
Exons: 3
Source: RefSeq, a predicted model, not a curated record